GUAGGGAAUCUUCCACAAUGGACGAAAGUCUGAUGGAGCAACGCCGCGUGAGUGAAGAAGGUUCUCGGAUCGUAAAACUCUGUUGUGAGGGAAGAACAAGUACCGGAGUAACUGCCGGUACCUUGACGGUACCUCAUUAGAAAGCCACGGCUAACUACGUGCCAGCAGCCGCGGUAAUACGUAGGUGGCAAGCGUUGUCCGGAAUCAUUGGGCGUAAAGCGAGCGCAGGCGGUCCCUUAAGUCUGAUGUGAAAGCCCACGGCUCAACCGUGGAGGGUCAGUGGAAACUGGGGGACUUGAGUGCAGAAGAGGAAAGCGGAAUUCCAAGUGUAGCGGUGAAAUGCGUAGAGAUUUGGAGGAACACCAGUGGCGAAGGCGGCUUUCUGGUCUGUAACUGACGCUGAGGCGCGAAAGCGUGGGGAGCAAACAGGAUUAGAUACCCCUGUAGUCC
This 450-nucleotide ribosomal RNA is filed under the name uncultured bacterium. RNAcentral's name for it is "partial 16S ribosomal RNA". It matches the Rfam family "Bacterial small subunit ribosomal RNA", at positions 354 to 796 of the family's 1533-position model. The record is from RNAcentral.